UACAGAGGUCCCAAGCGUUGUUCGGAAUUACUGGGCGUAAAGGGCGCGUAGGCGGCCUUCUAAGUCAGACGUGAAAUCCCUCGGCUCAACCGGGGAACUGCGUCUGAGACUGGAAGGCUUGAAUCCGGGAGAGGGAUGUGGAAUUCCAGGUGUAGCGGUGAAAUGCGUAGAUAUCUGGAGGAACACCGGUGGCGAAGGCGGCAUCCUGGACCGGUAUUGACACUGAGGCGCGAAAGCUAGGGGAGCAAACGGG
This 253-nucleotide ribosomal RNA is filed under the name uncultured bacterium. RNAcentral describes it as "partial 16S ribosomal RNA". It matches the Rfam family "Bacterial small subunit ribosomal RNA", at positions 524 to 776 of the family's 1533-position model. The record is from RNAcentral.